CCUACGGGAGGCAGCAGUGAGGAAUAUUGGUCAAUGGUCGGGAGACUGAACCAGCCAAGCCGCGUGAGGGAGGAAGGUCCAGCGUAUUGUAAACCUCUUUUGUCAGGGAAUAAAGCCUGUUACGCGUCCCCCUAUGAGUGUACCUGAAGAACAAGCAUCGGCUAACUCCGUGCCAGCAGCCGCGGUAAUACGGAAGGUACGAGCGUUAUCCGGAUUUAUUGGGUUUAAAGGGUGCGUAGGCGGCCUGUCAAGUCUGCUGUCAAAGGUCCGGGCUCAACCCGGGCCCUGCCGUGAAAAUUGGCGGGCUUGAGUCGGAGGGAAGUAGGCGGAAUUCGUAGUGUAGCGGUGAAAUGCUUAGAUAUGGCGAAGAACCCCGAUUGCGAAGGCAGC
This 390-nucleotide ribosomal RNA is filed under the name uncultured bacterium. RNAcentral's name for it is "partial 16S ribosomal RNA". It matches the Rfam family "Bacterial small subunit ribosomal RNA", at positions 338 to 725 of the family's 1533-position model. The record is from RNAcentral.